Miniopterus natalensis is the source of this 1156-nucleotide non-coding RNA. The record is from RefSeq and is a predicted model, not a curated record. NCBI's taxonomy places the organism in Eukaryota, Metazoa, Chordata, Mammalia, Chiroptera, Miniopteridae.
CCAAGGUCUCCUGAGACAUGGACGCAAGAUGGUGGAAGCGUGACCACCUGGGUCCCCGAAUGACUGCGUGGAGCAGAGCUUUCCACCGCCCUGGGCACCGGUCGGCACCGCGCCCGAGAGUGGGUGCGUCUGAGACAGACGGGCCGGGCUGUUCUCCCUGCUUCUGAGCCCACCUUGACCCGGGGCCUCUGGCUCUGCAAGAUUCUGACUAUGUGUUGCUUGAUCCCCGAAUGGAUGUUACAGCCGCCGUCCAACCGUUUCUGGGCUCGGCGUACUGAGAUGAAGUCACGUAAACCAGGGUGGAGACGUCUCUGCCCAGCUUGGACGCUGACACACACAGCUGAUGUUAUCAAGACGUCACUUUGGUUUCCCGAAACCCAAUGAAAUAUCAACAUCCAUUUCUAAGCAAGUUGAUGAAACCAAGACUCAGACACUCAAUGUGGGACCCACGGUCACUGGAAUAGUCUGGAGAUGGACCUGGCGGAUACUGGCAUGUGGGAAACACUCUCUCUCUGGCAACGUCGAUCUCCCUCUUCAAAGUUUCCAUACACGAGAAUCAUGAGGCACAAGAUUGUUUUGAUCUCUUGUUUUGAACACCUUCAUAGGCUCUCAGGGACCCCAAGAGUCUGAAAAACAUUUUUUUAUAAUCUCUACUGUAAUAUGUACAUUGUCAUUAUGGACAAUAUCAGCUUUGACUGUGAUACUUGUUGAUAGAACACUUAUCAUGUUGCGAUUAUGAAUGACUUUUGGGUCACGGUUACUCCAGAGAACAUGUCUUCUCCAUGCAUCUCUCAAUUUACUAAGAACAUAAUUUUCUCCACGAUUUGCACUGCACUGAAAUUUGUAUUUAUAGUAAGACUGCCAAACCAAUAAUUCCAUCUUCCAUGUGGAACAUAGCAUUCACCACAAGUCAGGUGUUUCACCUAAAACAGAAUGAACUUGCCAACGCUCUACUUCUGUUCCAUGAAUUGGCAGAAAAAAGAAAUUGCACCAUUAUUAGAAUUAGUUUAAUCGAUCGCCUAUUUCAAUCAUCCGACGUUGCAAAUAUAAAACUGAUGUCAUUGAUCUUCUUGGGAAGGGGACGUUUUCCUGCCCAGAGGGCCCAUGUGCCAACAGCCUUCCCUUCACCUUUGACACAGGCACAAGAAAAUGUAAA